CUGGCUCAGAACGAACGCUGGCGGCGCGUUUAAGCAUGCAAGUCGAGCGGCAAGGGCCUUCGGGCCCCUAGAGCGGCGGACGGGUGAGUAACACGUGGACAAUCUGCCCCCCGGCCCGGGAUAGCCCAGGGAAACCUGGAUUAAUACCGGAUGAGACGGGACCCGCGAUGGCGGGACCCGGGAAAGGCGCUGCGGCGCCGCCGGGGGAUGAGUCUGCGUCCCAUUAGCUAGACGGCGGGGUAACGGCCCACCGUGGCGACGAUGGGUAGCCGGCCUGAGAGGGUGGACGGCCACAUUGGAACUGAGACACGGUCCAGACUCCUACGGGAGGCAGCAGCUAAGAAUCUUCCGCAAUGGGCGAAAGCCUGACGGAGCCGACGCCGCGUGAACGAAGAAGGCCGUGAGGUUGUAAAGUUCUUUUCGGGAGGGGGAACAACCGUGGCAGGGAAUGGCCGCGGGAUGACGUGAAUCCCGGAAUAAGCCCCGGCUAACUACGUGCCAGCAGCCGC
This 509-nucleotide ribosomal RNA is filed under the name uncultured bacterium. RNAcentral's name for it is "bacterial SSU rRNA". It matches the Rfam family "Bacterial small subunit ribosomal RNA", at positions 19 to 518 of the family's 1533-position model. The record is from RNAcentral.